AUUUUCCCGCACGUUGAUCAUGGAGUGGAGAUCCUUGCCUCAAUACCAAUAAGAAGGAAGUAAAGUGCAGAUCUGAGACACCAUGGCCUCCGGUGUUUUUUGUAAGUUUUGUGGUUAUAUUUGCUGGUGUGGUUGUGUUUGGUCACCAAGAAAGUGUGGGAAAGUUGAAAAAAAAAAUAAAGUUUUCGUUUUUUUUUUACAAUGAAACCGAGUAGACUAAAAAUUAUGGAGAAAGUUUUCAUUUUUUUUUUUUUUUUUUUUUUUUGUGGUUCGGCUUGUUGUGAUUCUAUUUGGCUACCAAGAAAGUGUGGGAAAGUUGAAAAAAAAUAAAUUUUUUGUUUUUUUUUUACAAUGAAACUAAGUAGACUAAAAAUUAUGGAGAGUUUUUUUUUUUUUUUUUUUUUUUUUGUGGUUCGGCUUGUUGUGAUUCUGUUUGGUUGGCAAGAAAGUGUGGGAAAGUUGAAAAAAAAUAAGGGCUUGUUAGGAUUAUCCCUGUUAGGAUCCGAGAUAACACAUCAACUCCUCAUUUCUUUUUCCACACAACCAUUAACAAAAACCUCAAAAUUCUCCCUCCCUCAAUUUUUUCAACAACCAAACAAGACCAUACCUAAAAAAAUAUUGAAGAAAAAAACAGUUGGAACAAAAAAAAAGGAAAAAAAAAACAGAGUAAAUCAAACAACCAAUUUUUUUUGUGUGACAAUUUGUAAUUCUGGAAAUUUCACCCGUUGAUUCCAUUUAUUUUUGUGUUAUUCUCUUUGGAGUUUAAUUUCUUUAGAUUUUAAAGAUAAAGAGGUUGUAGUUGUGGGACUAUGGGAGUACGUGGAGUGUUGGAAGAGAAAGUAGAGCGAGAAGUAUUCUCUUUUCAUACAAUUUUUAUUUUUUUAUUUAUUAAAAAAACGAUUUUCAAUUAAAAGUUUUUUAUUUUAUUUAUUCUAAAAAAUUAUUUUUUAUAAAGUGUGAAUGUAAAAAUUAUUUAUAUAUUUACAAUAUCAAUUAGUUAAAGAAAAUACUCAAUUUUAAAAAACAAAACCAAUUAUUAUUAUCUUUUGUUGAAUUUUUUAUUUAUAUCUUUUUUUUUUAUUAAUCUAGAGGAGUUACAAAAAAACAUUCAAUUAAAAAAAAAACCAACUUUCAAACAUGUUUUUUGUUUUACUUAUUCUAAAAAACUUUUUUAUUAACAUAACCAAACAUUUUUUUUUUAGAACAAAAACUGUUUUCCAAAAUUCAGUUCCCAAACACAAUUUGUUUUUUUGAAAACACAAAAAAUUGUUCUAAAAAACCGUUAUCAUCCAUUACUUGAUCAGGAGGUGUACAGACUAGAGGGACAGAGGCUCAUACGAGGAGUAGUCCACCACCUCAUGAGCAGUCGAUAUCAUCCAUUACUCGAUCAGGAGGUGUAUGGACUAGAGGGCGAGGGGCUCAUACGAGAGGGACUAGGCAUACAUGUGUUCUUAGAGAUGCACCAUCGACUGACAUUAGCCUGCCA
This 1486-nucleotide long non-coding RNA is filed under the name Vitis vinifera (wine grape). RNAcentral describes it as "long non-coding RNA (VVIN_LNC007452)". The record is from RNAcentral. Lineage: Eukaryota; Viridiplantae; Streptophyta; Magnoliopsida; Vitales; Vitaceae.